Small nucleolar RNA from Cynocephalus volans (Philippine flying lemur), 104 nucleotides. RefSeq annotates it as small nucleolar RNA U13. NCBI's taxonomy places the organism in Eukaryota, Metazoa, Chordata, Mammalia, Dermoptera, Cynocephalidae. The transcript has a single exon. The record is from RefSeq and is a predicted model, not a curated record.
AUCCUUUUUUGGUUCAUAAGUGUGAUGAAUGGGUUUUCACACAUUGUGUGAGAUGUGCCUCCCUCGAAACCUUGUUGUGACGUCGGCACGCUACUCCUCUGAGG